AUCUAAUUCAGUUCUUCAAAAAUUAAAGUUUUUUAACAGAAAACGAAGACAUUUUAGAUAAAUUUCGAAAUAAAAAUGGAAAAAUAAACAUUCCAGCUUUACAUGAACAUCCAUUGAGAGUAUUUGAAACAUUGGAAAAUAUAAUUUUUGAAGGAUUGGAAAGUGCCACUCAUUUGCAUGGAAUGACAAAACCUAUUGCCAUACGUCAUCUGAAAAGGAAUGUUGCAUCUGAAGAUAUAAGGAAAAUGUUCAAGCAUUUGGGUGAAUAUUUAAAAACGGUUUUACAAAAAGUCAUGUCACCAACAUUACAAAAAGCAAUCGAUAAAAUUUGUGAAGUUCUUGUCAUGGAUGACCAAUAAAAUAAUUGCAUCGAGAAAUUUCGAAUAAAAUGAAUUUUGAUUUUUAUUUUCCAGCAUAAUUUUAAACACUCAAUAAUUUCGAAUGUUUUCUGAAUUUCUUGGUAACACUUUUUCCUAAAUAAAACACCCUGUGUUCUAAGAUCAAAUUAAAUGGGAGAGUCGUUUGUGAUUCAUCAAAAGUCAA
This is a long non-coding RNA of Episyrphus balteatus (marmalade hoverfly), 543 nucleotides long. RefSeq lists it as uncharacterized. The transcript is spliced from 2 exons. NCBI's taxonomy places the organism in Eukaryota, Metazoa, Arthropoda, Insecta, Diptera, Syrphidae. The record is from RefSeq and is a predicted model, not a curated record.